AUGGCUGGUGGAGUCGUACCAGCUAGUCCAGCAUUGAGGAAUGACUGCAAUGAAGCUGCUGAAGCAAAUCCUGGUGGGUACAGGUUGCAGUGGACAAAAAAACUCUUUCUCCCUGUGGAAAUGAUGGGAGGCUUUUCUUAUUAUGUGGUGGACAUUGAGGAGAGGACUCUUGUUGUUUUGGAUCCAACAGAGACGAGCAUCCACAAUGAUGAGAUGAGUGUGAAACACAAAGUUAAUGCGAACCUGGUGCUGAGGGCACUUCGGCGGUGCCUCAGCAAUCAUUUCGCUGACUGGUAUGUCCCAGAGGAUGGCUGGAGUGUCACUUACGGGUACAACAUGAAUGAGCCGUGCGAGAUGUGUGGGAAAAUCUAA
Molecule: ribosomal RNA, 372 nt
Filed under: Triticum aestivum (bread wheat)
Lineage: Eukaryota; Viridiplantae; Streptophyta; Magnoliopsida; Poales; Poaceae
Description: partial small subunit ribosomal RNA
Source: RNAcentral